RNAcentral lists this ribosomal RNA (167 nucleotides) under uncultured bacterium. Its description in RNAcentral is "partial 16S ribosomal RNA". It matches the Rfam family "Bacterial small subunit ribosomal RNA", at positions 1334 to 1500 of the family's 1533-position model. The record is from RNAcentral.
GCUAGUAAUACGCGGAUCAGCAUGCCGCGGUGAAUACGUUCCCGGGCCUUGUACACACCGCCCGUCACACCAUGGGAGCCGGUAAUACCCGAAGUCAGUAGUCCAACCACGUGAGGACGCUGCCGAAGGUAGGAUUGGCGACUGGGGUGAAGUCGUAACAAGGUACC